Molecule: transfer RNA, 99 nt
Organism: Prunus persica (peach)
Lineage: Eukaryota; Viridiplantae; Streptophyta; Magnoliopsida; Rosales; Rosaceae
Rfam family: tRNA
About the family: Transfer RNA (tRNA) molecules are approximately 80 nucleotides in length. Their secondary structure includes four short double-helical elements and three loops (D, anti-codon, and T loops).
Source: Rfam
AGGGAUGUAGCUCAAAAUGGUAGAGCUCUCAGCUUGUAACCAAUGUGAACAAGUUACAAGACUUACGAGAAGAUCAAGGUUCGAAUCCUUGCUUCCCUG